RNAcentral lists this ribosomal RNA (362 nucleotides) under Bracon sp. RNAcentral describes it as "partial 16S ribosomal RNA". Lineage: Eukaryota; Metazoa; Arthropoda; Insecta; Hymenoptera; Braconidae. The record is from RNAcentral.
AUCUUUUUUAUUAAUAUGGGCUCUCAAAAAAAAUUAUGCUGUUAUCCCUAAGGUAAUUAAUAUUUUUAAUUUAAAAAUUAAGAUAUAAUUUUCAUUUAUAAGUGUUUUUUUAAAAAAAAAUUUAUUUAAUUUUUUAAUUACCCCAAUUAAAUUUAUUUUAUUUAAAAGAUUUUUAAAUAAAUAAAUAAAAUUCUUUAGGGUCUUAUCGUCUUUAUAGAAAAUUUAAGUUUUUUUACUUAAAUAAUAAAUUUAAUUAUAUUUAAUUGAGACAGUUUUUAUUUCAUUUAAUCUUUCAUUCUAGUUUUUAAUUAAAAAACAAAUUAUUAUGCUACCUUAGUACAGUUAAAAAUACUGCAGCCAUU